This is a ribosomal RNA of Bison bison bison, 118 nucleotides long. The record is from Ensembl. Lineage: Eukaryota; Metazoa; Chordata; Mammalia; Artiodactyla; Bovidae.
UCUGGCAGCCAUACCACUUUGUGCUGGGAGCCUGUCAGUUCUUACUAGCUGAGUAAGGGCUGGGCUGCUUUGGUGCAAGGAUGAGAGACCUCCCAGGAACAAGUAGGUACUUCAGGAA